RNAcentral lists this ribosomal RNA (600 nucleotides) under uncultured bacterium. RNAcentral describes it as "bacterial SSU rRNA". It matches the Rfam family "Bacterial small subunit ribosomal RNA", at positions 735 to 1340 of the family's 1533-position model. The record is from RNAcentral.
CGUUACUGACGUUUAGGCUCGAAAGUGCGGGUAUCAAACAGGAUUAGAUACCCUGGUAGUCCGCACAGUAAACGAUGGACACUCGCUGUCGGCGACAGACAGUCGGCGGCCAAGCGAAAGCGUUAAGUGUCCCACCUGGGGAGUACGCCGGCAACGGUGAAACUCAAAGGAAUUGACGGGGGCCCGCACAAGCGGAGGAACAUGUGGUUUAAUUCGAUGAUACGCGAGGAACCUUACCCGGGCUUGAACUGCGCAGGAAUGUUGGGGAGACCCAUCAGUCAGCAAUGACCUGCGUGGAGGUGCUGCAUGGUUGUCGUCAGCUCGUGCCGUGAGGUGUCGGCUUAAGUGCCAUAACGAGCGCAACCCCUUCUUCCAGUUGCCAUCGGGUCAUGCCGGGCACUCUGGAGGGACUGCCGCCGUAAGGUGUGAGGAAGGCGGGGAUGACGUCAAAUCAGCACGGCCCUUACGUCCGGGGCUACACACGUGUUACAAUGGGGGGUACAGCGGGGUGCCACCGCGCGAGCGGGCGCCGAUCCUCAAACCCUCCCGUAGUUCCAUUGGGGUCUGCAACCCGACCCCAUGAAGCUGGAUUCGCUAGUA